RNAcentral lists this ribosomal RNA (497 nucleotides) under uncultured bacterium. RNAcentral's name for it is "partial 16S ribosomal RNA". It matches the Rfam family "Bacterial small subunit ribosomal RNA", at positions 28 to 507 of the family's 1533-position model. The record is from RNAcentral.
GAUGAACGCUGGCGGCGUGCCUAACACAUGCAAGUCGAACGGAAAGGCGCCUUUGGGGGUCCUCGAGUGGCGAACGGGUGCGUAAGACUUACGUAAGCUUCCCCUCCCUUUGAGAUACGGAUCACUAACUGGGGCCAUUACCCAUACGGUAUACUUUCUUCAACCGGGGGGUUCAAAAGCUUCAGCGGUUUUUGCUGGCCCUGCUAGAUAGCAUCGUGGCGGGUUAGAUAGUUGGUGGGGUAACCGCUUACUAUGGCGACGAUGGGUAGCCGACCUGAGAGGGUGAUCGGCCACACUGGGACUGAGACACGGCCCAGACUCCUACGGGAGGCAGCAGUGGGGAAUGGUGGACAAUGGGCGGAAGCCUGACCGAGCAACGCCGCGUGGAUGAUGAAGGGCUUCGGGUGGUAAAACGCUGUUAGGGGGGAAGAACAACUUUAUCAGGAGCGAAGCGUGUCGUGACGGUACCUGAAGAGAAAGCACCGGCUAACUACGUG